RNAcentral lists this non-coding RNA (121 nucleotides) under Lentilactobacillus curieae. RNAcentral's name for it is "Lactobacillus curieae FMN sequence". It matches the Rfam family "FMN riboswitch aptamer (RFN element)". Rfam says of the family: The RFN element is a highly conserved domain that is found frequently in the 5'-untranslated regions of prokaryotic mRNAs that encode for flavin mononucleotide (FMN) biosynthesis and transport proteins. The record is from Rfam by way of RNAcentral. Lineage: Bacteria; Bacillati; Bacillota; Bacilli; Lactobacillales; Lactobacillaceae.
GUUAGUCUUCAGGGCAGGGUUAGAUUCCCGACCGGCGGUUAUAGUCCGCGACCCGCAGUGAUGCGGCUGAGCUGGUGAAAUUCCAGUGCCGACAGUAAAGUCUGGUAUGUAGAAGAUUGUA